This 253-nucleotide ribosomal RNA is filed under the name uncultured bacterium. RNAcentral's name for it is "partial 16S ribosomal RNA". It matches the Rfam family "Bacterial small subunit ribosomal RNA", at positions 524 to 776 of the family's 1533-position model. The record is from RNAcentral.
UACGUAGGGGGCAAGCGUUGUCCGGAUUUAUUGGGCGUAAAGAGCGUGUAGGCGGCCAGGUAGGUCUGCUGUGAAAACUCGAGGCUUAACCUCGAGCUGUCGGCGGAAACCAUCCGGCUAGAGUCCGGAAGAGGAGAAUGGAAUUCCCGGUGAAGCGGUGAAAUGCGCAGAUAUCGGGAAGAACACCCGUGGCGAAGGCGGAUCUCUGGGCCUUACCUGACGCUCAGGUGCGAAAGCUAGGGGAGCGAACAGG